GCUCCUCCUUCUGCUGUACUGAUGUUGGGAGCUGAGGAUAUGCGUGGAUUCAAAUUUCUUACAAUUUCAGUUGCACCACGACCGACUGUUUCAGGCAGACCUCCACCUGCAGUUUCCAUGGCAGUUGGGCAAUUCUUUAAUCCUGAUGCAGGGAGGGUGAAAAUCUCACCUUGGUCGAUGCUUCUUUCCAAGUACUACAGUGAUGACAUUUUUCUGAUGGAGGAUCAUUCUCUGGUGUUGAAUUUAUCAUUCCCCAUUAGCUUGG
RNAcentral lists this unclassified non-coding RNA (265 nucleotides) under Hevea brasiliensis (rubber tree). The record is from RNAcentral. Lineage: Eukaryota; Viridiplantae; Streptophyta; Magnoliopsida; Malpighiales; Euphorbiaceae.